RNAcentral lists this non-coding RNA (171 nucleotides) under Fervidicella metallireducens. RNAcentral also lists the same sequence under 1 other name. Lineage: Bacteria; Bacillati; Bacillota; Clostridia; Eubacteriales; Clostridiaceae. The record is from RNAcentral.
ACUGAAUAAUAUGUUUUAGGCACCUGAUUAGGUUUAAUAGGGAAAGUGGUGAAAAUCCACUGCAGCCCCCGCUACUGUAUACGGAGACAAAGCCAGAUCCACUGGGAAACCGGGAAGGAUGGUGGAGGAUGACCCGUCAGCCAGGAGACCUGCCUAAAGCAGAAAAUGGAA